AAUCAACGCUGGCGGCGUGCCUAACACAUGCAAGUCGAACGCGAAAGGGGCUUCGGCCCUGAGUAGAGUGGCGAACGGGUGAGGAAUACAUGGGUAACCUACCCUCGAGUGGGGAAGUAACUAGCCGAAAGGUUAGCUAAUACCGCGUACGCUCCUUGGACUUCGGUUCAGGGAGGAAAGCGAUACCGUGGGUAGUCGCGCUCUUGGUUGGGCUCAUGUCCUAUCAGCUUGUUGGUGAGGUAACGGCGUCACCAA
Molecule: ribosomal RNA, 255 nt
Filed under: uncultured bacterium
Lineage: Bacteria
Description: partial 16S ribosomal RNA
Rfam family: Bacterial small subunit ribosomal RNA
Source: RNAcentral